This 440-nucleotide ribosomal RNA is filed under the name uncultured bacterium. Its description in RNAcentral is "partial 16S ribosomal RNA". It matches the Rfam family "Bacterial small subunit ribosomal RNA", at positions 338 to 795 of the family's 1533-position model. The record is from RNAcentral.
CCUACGGGAGGCAGCAGUGGGGGAUAUUGCACAAUGGGGGAAACCCUGAUGCAGCGACGCCGCGUGUGGGAAGACGGUCCUCUGGAUUGUAAACCACUGUCCCCAGGGACGAAGAUGACGGUACCUGGGGAGGAAGCUCCGGCUAACUACGUGCCAGCAGCCGCGGUAAUACGUAGGGAGCGAGCGUUGUCCGGAAUUCCUGGGUGAAAAGGGAGCGUAGGCGGGACUGCAAGUUGGGUGUCAAAUCUACCGGCUCAACCGGUAGCCGCACUCAAAACUGCAGUUCUUGAGUGAAGUAGAGGCAGGCGGAAUGCCUAGUGUAGCGGUGAAAUGCGUAGAGAUUAGGAGGAACACCAGUGGCGAAGGCGGCCUGCUGGGCUUUUACUGACGCUGAGGCUCGAAAGUGUGGGGAGCAAACAGGAUUAGAUACCCGGGUAGUC